RNAcentral lists this ribosomal RNA (752 nucleotides) under uncultured Glomus. RNAcentral's name for it is "SSU rRNA". It matches the Rfam family "Eukaryotic small subunit ribosomal RNA", at positions 338 to 1092 of the family's 1831-position model. The record is from RNAcentral. Lineage: Eukaryota; Fungi; Glomeromycota; Glomeromycetes; Glomerales; Glomeraceae.
GGCCUACCAUGGUGGUAACGGGUAACGGGGUGUUAGGGCACGACACCGGAGAGGGAGCCUGAGAAACGGCUACCACAUCCAAGGAUGGCAGCAGGCGCGCAAAUUACCCAAUCCCGACACGGGGAGGUAGUGACAAUAAAUAACAAUACGGGGUUCUUUCGGAUUUCGUAAUUGGAAUGAGUACAAUUUAAAUCUCUUAACGAGGAACAAUUGGAGGGCAAGUCUGGUGCCAGCAGCCGCGGUAAUUCCAGCUCCAAUAGCGUAUAUUAAAGUUGCUGCAGUUAAAAAGCUCGUAGUUGAAUUUCGGGACCAUCAUGUUGGUCGUGCCUCGGUACGUACUGGUAUUGUUGGUUUCUCCCUUCUGACGAACCAUGAUGUCAUUUAUUUGGUGUUGUGGGGAAUCAGGACUGUUACUUUGAAAAAAUUAGAGUGUUUAAAGCAGGCUCACGCUUGAAUACAUUAGCAUGGAAUAAUGAAAUAGGACGUUUGAUUCUAUUUUGUUGGUUUCUAGGAUCGACGUAAUGAUUAAUAGGGAUAGUUGGGGGCAUUAGUAUUCAAUUGUCAGAGGUGAAAUUCUUGGAUUUAUUGAAGACUAACUACUGCGAAAGCAUUUGCCAAGGAUGUUUUCAUUAAUCAAGAACGAAAGUUAGGGGAUCGAAGACGAUCAGAUACCGUCGUAGUCUUAACCAUAAACUAUGCCGACUAGGGAUCGGAUGAUGUUAAUUUUUUAAUGACUCAUUCGGCGCCUUACG